UAAAUGGCAAGGAACUGACCUUAAGGAAAAGACCCUCUACCCUUCUUUCUGUAAGUACACUUUAAAUAAUUUUUGAGAUAAACCAUGGAUUAUGGUUAAUAUUGUACUCAAUGCUCUAUAAGGGAUUACAAGGAGAUAACAUGGAUCCAAACUGGUGUGCAGAUCCUUACUCUUGUGUUACAUUAAUGGUUAUCGUGCGUCAAGUUAAUUGUGUCAUGCAUGGUAAUGCAAAAGAGGAAGGAUGUGGUCCACCAGAUCUGUUACUUAUUCUCUGAAAACCUUAAAAAUGUGUAAAUCACCCAGUUACAUCUUGUCUACACAUUGUCGGGGCAAGGAAAAUUACUUUUAGAAGGAGUCAUCUACCCUUCACCCUGUAAGUACGCUUUACUGGAUUGUUAAUGACAACCUAUAUUUUAUGAUAGAUUAAUGAUGUUUUUGGACUCAAUGCUCUAGUCAGGCUUCAGAGAAUAAAAGACAUAUGGAGCAAUAUAUUUAUAAUUAUGUGUGUACAAAAAAGGUGGAAAUGUGAUGGGUCUUUUAGGGAUCUGGGUUGAGAAGGCAUUGGGAAGCUGAGACCAAAACACCCAACAAAAAUGGUUCUAUAAUUUAUUCAAGGCAUGGUUGUCCAUUUGUUUCCACAUUCCAGUAUAAAUCAACACAUUUUCAACCGUUUUGAAAGAAUUCCAUUAUCUUUUUCCAUACAUCAGAUGAUAAUGUUGUCCAUUUUAUUUUAAAAUCAAUCAAUCACGUACAAACAUACAAAAAGGGGAACAGGAGACGAGAUCCAGGAUGCAGAGAUCCAAUGUCUACAUGUUCCAUGUUCCAACUCAGACAUGUCCUGUUAAGAAAAAUUCAGGUAGUCACCUGGGACCUAACCAGUACUACACAGACAGUUACGCCCCCUCCAAAGGCUCCUGGGUGAAGAGGAAAAGAUGAAGAGGGACAACCACCCAAGAUGUGUUCAUGUUUGCUUCUUAAUGGUUUCAAGUGUAUUUAUUCAACUGUUAUAAAGUGUUGUUGUUUAUGUCUCUAAGACUACAAGGUGGCACGACGAUGAGAGCUACAGGAAGUGUGUUGGUGGUCGUUAUCUGGUCUGUAACAGGAACUAUGGCAACAAAAUGUGGACAAACAAGCCUACUGAUGGUGUCUCCCACCAACCCAGUGUGGGGGCAGAAAGUGAUAUUGACCUGUAACGCCCCCUGUAGUCUGAGUGACAACCAAAACCACACCUACAUCGGGUACAAGAAUGGAUACCGUCUUGUCGAUUCCCCCCUCCGGCAAUACACUGAAACCAGUUAUUAUACACACAGUUACUCCUGUGCUGUAAAUGGUUCUGAGGAUCUCCGCUCUCCUGUAGUCUGUAUUCUGGGUAAGUCCUGUUUCAAUGUGACUUACACCCAUCAGACAAUCUCUGCCUUGAUCGGCUCAACAGUGGAUCUUCCCUGCACAUACCAACAUCCGAAUAACCAUACAGUCAUAGAAAUGAACUGGUAUAUACAAGGAGAACGUAAUAAGGCGCCAACAAACCUGAAAUCAUUGCCAGAGUAUUCAGGUCGUGUGAAGUACCUUGGAGAUAAUGUGAGUGACUGUACCCUGAGAAUCACAGACCUGAGAGAGACUGACUCAGCUGAGUACAAGUUCAGAUUUAAAACACAGUUUGCAGAGUGGGGGUACAGCUUCUCAGGAACUACUCUGACUGUCUCAGGACAUGUUCUCCUGUCUUCUUGGGUUCCCGUGGUCACAGUGGGGGCCGUCCUGACUGUUGCAGUUCUUCUAGUCACCAUCUACUGUACCCUGAGGAGGAGAUCUACAGGAGGAAGUGACGCUACAACAGACCCACAGAGUGUCCAUCCUGAUCCUAAUAGUGACAUGUACUCAGCUCUGAACAUGAGAAACAGAUCAACAGACUACGACACUUUAAAUACUCACCCAUUGACCAACCAACAGAUAGAUGCAGAGAUAGAUGUUUAUGAGAACUUAUGAGAACCACCACAGAAUCUGGACUGAAGAGAACCACCACAGAACCUGGAUUGUAAAGAACUACCACAGAAUCUGGACUGAAGAGAACCACCACAGAACCUGGACUGAAGAAAACCAACACAGAACCUGGACUGUAUAGAACCAACACAGAACCUAGAUUGUAUUGAACCAACACAGAACCUGGAAUGAAGAGAACCCAAACAGAAACUGGACUGUAGAGAACCACCACAGAACCUGGACUGAAGAAAAUCAACACAGAACCUGGACUAAAGAGAACCACCACAGAACCUGGACAGUAGAGAACCAUGACAGAACCUGUACUGAAGAGAACCACCACAGACACUGGACUGAAUAGAACCAUCACCGAACCUGGACUGAAGAGAACCACCACAGAACCUGGACUGAAGAGAAUCAACACAGAACAUGGACUGUAUAGAACCACCAAAGAACCUGGACUGAAGGGAAACACCACAGAACCUGGACUGAAUAGAACCAGCACAGAACCUGGACUGUAUAGAACCACCACAGAACCUGGGCUGCAUUGAACCACCACAGAACCUGGACUGAAGAAAUCCACCACAUAUCCUGGACUGAAGGGAACCACCAUAGAACUUGGACUGUAGAGAACCACCACAGAACCUGGACUGAAGAGAACCACUACAGAACCUGGACUGUAUAGAACCACCACAGAACCUGUUAAAUAGUGUUAAUAAAUGUAACACAUCAGUCUGUGAAGUGGUCAUGCAACAUGUUUGCCUUCCUUUUAUGGUUCAAACUAAUAUUAAUUAGGGUGUUACUUUAACUAAUACCAAUUAUAACUACAACAAAUACUAAUUAUAGUAUAACUAUAUCUCAUAAUAAUUAUAGUACUAAUUAUAGUACAUAUGUGCUUAGCAUUGACAUAGUGUGUGAAAGCAAUCAGAGAUUUUAGUUUUGCAAACACAGAACAUUGCUGUGCUCAUCAGGUUAAAAAGGAGAUCAAAACUUGACCCAAGUUUCAUUUGGAUUACAUUUUUUACAAUAGAUAAUAGAUAAAAAACUGUAUUCAACCUGGGCCAGAGUCUUUCACUUACUUUCUGACUGUCUCUAUACUUUUGAAGAUGCCAUUCUCCUGAAUUAUUUUCCUUCAUUGGAUUUUCUAAAAGAAUGAGGUUGUUUUUGACAACCAUGUUCACAAUUGCUACUUAUACUAUCGUCCGCUGGUGUCUCAAUUUGAUGUGAAGUAGUGUAUGGAACACAUUUACAUUUAAAUACAUUUUAGAGAAUUUGAAUACAAGCUUCACGUUCAUGUAAUUUUCCUGUAUUGUUCUACUUGUGCUAAUACAUACAGAGUACAGAAAAAUGGAUAGUCAGCAUAGACUUUUUACAGUAAAUUACCGUUUAACAGUAAAAGCAGCUCAG
Esox lucius (northern pike) is the source of this 3381-nucleotide long non-coding RNA. Lineage: Eukaryota; Metazoa; Chordata; Actinopteri; Esociformes; Esocidae. The record is from Ensembl.